Nicotiana attenuata is the source of this 512-nucleotide long non-coding RNA. RefSeq lists it as uncharacterized. The transcript is spliced from 2 exons. The record is from RefSeq and is a predicted model, not a curated record. NCBI's taxonomy places the organism in Eukaryota, Viridiplantae, Streptophyta, Magnoliopsida, Solanales, Solanaceae.
CAAAAUCCUUGAACCAAACGAUCCCCAUCCGACGAAGAUAUGAAUCCAUCUUUUGAAGUUCUGAUGAAGGAUUCAUACAUAUCGCAAGAUUAUAUGCAUAUUCCAAAAUAUUUUUACGAACACCUUCCUGAAUCACAUAGCACAACGGUUCUUCACUAUGAUGGCGAGCCUUGGUUUAUGGAAAUUAACAUGGGUAAGCAGAGAUGGUUCAAAGACGGUUGGAAAUAUUUUGUGAUGAAUAAUAACAUCAAGCGGGGUUGGUUAAUCAACUUUGAGUUGGUCGAAAUUACAGAAUUCUGUGUUAUCUUCCAAUUGCAAGUGACAGGCCGAGGAACUCUCCAAGAUCCCGUUGAAAUUAACUAGUUAUGUUUUGUCUUCCCAGUUUGUGUUGUUUUUAACUUUUGUUAGCUUUUUUUUAAUGUAAUAUGUACUUUUAUUUUCCAAUUUGGUUAUUAUGUAAUGUGUAUUUUGAUUUCGGACUCUUUUGAUUUUCCAGUUAUCAAAUUGAUAUA